AAACAUAGCCUACUAUUUAACUUAGGUACAACCCUGCCCUCUGACUUUUAACAGCCGCGGUAUCCUAACCGUGCUAAGGUAGCAUAAUCACUUGCCUAUUAAUUAUAGGCUAGAAUGAACGGGAUCACUCACUUAAACUUAUUUUUAUUUAAAUUUAAAUUAAACUUUAAGUCAAAAUACUAAAUUAAAAAGAAAGACAAAAAGACCCUGAAAACUAUUAGAAAUAAUUAGUUGGGGCAACUAUAGACCACUCUAGCGUCUAUUUUUUUUUAAACUCUUAAAAUCUAAAGUAUCCAGUUACUUCAGGGAUAACAGACUAAUUUUAUUAUUUAGACCCAAUAAAUAAUAAAGAUUGGCACCUCGAUGUUGGCUUAUAUUUCCUUCAUAUAGCAACAUAUAUAGAAGGCAGCUUGUUCAUCUGUUAAAUAUUUACAUGAGCUGAGUUCAGAC
RNAcentral lists this ribosomal RNA (450 nucleotides) under Stygocapitella sp. 401_02. Its description in RNAcentral is "partial large subunit ribosomal RNA". It matches the Rfam family "Bacterial large subunit ribosomal RNA", at positions 1811 to 2616 of the family's 2925-position model. Lineage: Eukaryota; Metazoa; Annelida; Polychaeta; Parergodrilidae. The record is from RNAcentral.